GAAUAAGAUUCCUUUUUUCACUCAAAUAAAGUGGCAGGCCAGGCUUGAUUCGGCUGAUCUGGCUGGCUAAGCAGGUGUGCCUUUUGUCUCUCACAGCUUCAUGUUCAUCCCUCCCAAAGCUGUGCAUGUGGUGGAAGAGCAUGGCCAUCCCUGAUAGAGGAGGACUGUUUCUCCCCUCAAGGGUAUGGGAGUAGUUUCAUUCCCCUACUAGAACCGCCAAACAUGCCCUCAAACAAAAUGGCAAUUGAGACCUUAAUUACAUCCAUAAAAACAUUCAUUCUUGCUCUGU
RNAcentral lists this small nuclear RNA (289 nucleotides) under Heterocephalus glaber (naked mole-rat). RNAcentral describes it as "7SK RNA". It matches the Rfam family "7SK RNA", at positions 50 to 309 of the family's 331-position model. Rfam says of the family: 7SK was discovered as an abundant small nuclear RNA in the mid-70s but a possible function has only recently been suggested. Two independent studies have found that 7SK RNA binds the CDK9/cyclin T complex (known as elongation factor P-TEFb). Lineage: Eukaryota; Metazoa; Chordata; Mammalia; Rodentia; Bathyergidae. The record is from Rfam by way of RNAcentral.